RNAcentral lists this long non-coding RNA (834 nucleotides) under Gossypium barbadense (sea-island cotton). RNAcentral describes it as "long non-coding RNA (GBAR_LNC014309)". Lineage: Eukaryota; Viridiplantae; Streptophyta; Magnoliopsida; Malvales; Malvaceae. The record is from RNAcentral.
UCUUCUUCACUUAUUGUUCUUUUAUCUAGAAAACUAAAAACUUGGAACUUGUUCUUCUCUUACCCACACCAUCAUCAACCCCUCUCGACGCUAUCACCUCAACUAUCUAGUUAACCAACCACCACAUUACCACCACUAUCGACCCUCCACUCUCACCAUGUUCAAAUCCAAACCCUCUGACAACUAGUCCACUUACCAUCGCCACCUUAAAGUCAUCCUCACCACACCCUCAACAACAACACAAAAAGAACAAGAAAAAAACUCCAAGAGAAGUGAAAGCCUGCAACAGAGAGAAAGGAAACAAAAUCAAAGAAAGAAGAAAAAAUACAAAGAAAUAAAGAAAGGAACAUAUUCAAUUUGGCGUUGAGGCUAGUUCUAAGGCCUCGGGUCGUCAUCUCGAAAAUCUGAACGAUAGGGAUAUAGAAGAGGUCAAGGAGAACAACAUACCUUGGAAUCGAACUGAGUCAGCAAUCGAAUUUCGAUAUCGGGCAAGGAGAAGUUUGAAUGUCCAAGCAUAGAUUCGUGUAGUUUGGGGAAUUUUUUGGAGAAUCCAACUCCAUAUUCAUGUUCAAAGGGUCAAAAAGAGACUGGGAAAGAGUUUUGGUAUUCGUCGACCUCCAGCGACAGGAGCCGGCACGACGGUCCAACAUCGAUUUCUGGAUUAGUGACUGCUGUGUUUAUGGGUUGCCUUAGAGAAAGGUAGAGAGAAAUAUGAAGAGACAAAGAGACGGGAGAAGAAAAAACUAACGGAAAAAAAGUUCUAGUGGUAUUUAAUUUGAAGAUUAAUGAAAAUUAAAGAGAAAUUUCGAAGGCAGGGGUUAAAAUUUGAAGGAA